GACGAACGCUGGCGGCGUGCUUAACACAUGCAAGUCGAACGGAAAGACCCUGCUUUUGUGGGGUGCUCGAGUGGCGAACGGGUGAGUAACACGUGAGUAACCUGCCCUUGACUUUGGGAUAACUUCAGGAAACUGGGGCUAAUACCUGAUAGGAGCUCCUGCUGCAUGGUGGGGGUUGGACAGUUUCGGCGGUUGGGGAUGGACUCGCGGCUUACCAGCUUGUUGGUGGGGUAGUGGCCUACCAAGGCUUUGACGGGUAGCCGGCCUGAGAGGGUGACCGGCCACAUUGGGACUGAGAUACGGCCCAGACUCCUACGGGAGGCAGCAGUGGGGAAUAUUGCACAAUGGGCGGAAGCCUGAUGCAGCAACGCCGCGUGCGGGAUGACGGCCUUCGGGUUGUAAACCGCUUUCGCCUGUGACGAAGCGUGAGUGACGGUAAUGGGUAAAGAAGCACCGGCUAACUACGUG
RNAcentral lists this ribosomal RNA (468 nucleotides) under uncultured bacterium. Its description in RNAcentral is "partial 16S ribosomal RNA". It matches the Rfam family "Bacterial small subunit ribosomal RNA", at positions 28 to 507 of the family's 1533-position model. The record is from RNAcentral.